ACGGCACCCGGCCAAAUAUUUACUUCUAAGGGUGCUUAUGAUUCAUGUUUGGGGGCAAAUGUAUUACAUAAUUCAUGUGUCAGUACCCCCUUGCAACACAGCAGGAGGCACAUAAUGUCAGAUCUCCUACUAUAAGAAGAUUAAAGAGAUUAACCAGAGGCCUUAUCAUGCAGGCACCUUUUCUUCUUUGUGCUUUUGAACCAUGAAUAAUUUAAAGUGUAUUGUUAAAGUGUAUUGUUUAAUUUUUAAGUAUUUGAAAUUUAUACUUCUUUGGAAGAAAAGUUAAAUAUUAAAUAUGAACUCGAUUGAACGUGGACACAAAGAAAGGUCACCAAGUCCUGGAACAGGUUGUGUGAGCCCCUUGAGGCAUUCAUCCAACACCAUUUCCGAGAAAUCUCUGUUUCAAUCUGUUCCUGUAUGUUAGUUAUUGAAAAACAAGUUGACCUUUUUGUGUUCCUUGAGCCCAGUCAUGAAUGGCCCUUGUGACUGGGCCUCACACCAAACAACUCAUUACACAAAGAGGUAAGGUCCCAGACCACGCCAAAGCUUCCUGAGACCUCUCCUCAUCUGUGCAUGGACGGAUGACCAACUCUGGGGCCCAGGCUGUUGCUUCCCAGUAUAAUGAUGAAUCCGCCAUAGUCUGGUGAGUGUAGAGGCUGACUCUGGAGCCCAGGCUGUACCUUCUCGGUCUGGUGAUGAAUCCUCAAUCGUGUGAUAAAAAAUGAACUAAGGCCAAAUGCGGUGGCUCACGCCUGUAAUCCCAGCACUUUGAGAGGCCGAGGUGGUUGGAUCACGUGAGGUCAGGAUUUCGAGACCAGUCUGGCCAACAUGGUGAAAUCCUGUCUCUACAAAAAUACAAAAAUUAGCCCGGUGUGGUGGCACAUGCCUGCAGUCCCAGCUACUGAGGAGACUGAGGUAGGAGAAUCACUUGAACCCGGGAGGCGGAGGUUGCAGUGAGCUGAGAUCGUGCCACUGCACUCCAGCCUGGGUGACAGAUGGAGACUCCGUCUCGAACAAACAAAAAAAUGAACUAAGGUGAUAAUAUUUUCUGUACAAUGACAUUUUCCUCAAUAAAAUGAAUAGAGAAGAAAAAAAGAAAUAGAUUAAAAUUGUGAACACUAGGUUAAAGGAGAACUUAAAUAUAUAAUAAUCACCAAUACAAGCUGAUAUUCAAUAGAUCUAGACAUUACAUUGAGAAGCUGAGUGCAAAACUAUAAGCCGUUUUUGUAAUAGUUCCUUAUGCACAUAAUGCCAGCUCAUUUGUUGUUGAAAAGAUAUUCAAAAUUAUCCAUAUUACGUAAAGGAAAGAAUGAAUUUAUUCAUGAAUAUAAAUGUACUCAUUUCUUGUGCUGUCUUAAUCUAUACUUUCUCCUGUCAGCAAUAGCAAGCAUGUAUAGGUUUUACUUCGGUCAUCACUCAAAAUGAAUGCAAUCCAAAGCCGUUACUUUGCCACUGAGAGUUAACCUUCAGAGACCUCUUUAUGAGUAGAAGUGUUUUAGGACAGCUAUAGCUUUACCAUUGACCUUUUUCUUUUUAUUUUUGCCUUUAGUUUUUAAUUAUCUGUCAUUUGUUACCUGUGAAUUUGACCUAGGAAAGAAGAUAGGUAGCUAACAUACUCAGAGAAAUGCAAUAUUGUUCCCACUUAAAGAUACUAUAAUAACAGCAUCACAAAAAUAUGCCUGAAGGCUACAUAAAUUCAGCAUCUAUGAACAACGAAAUAAUCUUUCAUUUUUCACAUUGAUUUUGUUUCAAUUUACAACAAAGGACUAACAACAGCAGCUGCAAAACAGUGAUCACACAUAAUGUGAUCUGUAAGCAAAUGUUUAUUCACGAAGUACCCAUUUCUCUUCCGGUGCUCUCCAGCUGACUUGUUGCUCAGCAUGUAGUGUAAUAAUCACCGCAUGGUACACUAGCAGGCAUGCAGCGACCAGCAAUAAGGCAUCUGCUAUGCAUUCAAAAACAAAUAUCAAAUGUAAUUCUCCAGAAAUUUCUUAUGGAUUUUAUGUAGACUAGAGACUAUUUGUAUCUUUUAGGAGACAUCUUUCUUAGAACAAAGGUAUAUACAUGUUUAUUAUUUUGGUGCAUGAACUUUUUCAAAGAUGCUUGCAAACACACACAUGCACAAGUAAAUCCUGAUCUUUCACAAAAUUUGAAAGGCUCAUUGUCCUGUAUAUAAGGAGGCUUUUCUAUUUUGAUUGGGUCUCACAGUAUAAACUCAUCAUAUACAUAUGAGUGUGUAUUUUUCUUCACAUAGCUAACUGAAAUAAAAGUUUUAUGAAACUUUCAAGUGUUAUCUGACAUUUUUAUCCUUUUUCUUUUCUUUUCAAUUUCAUUUAAAAACCCUCUGAUUGUGAUUCACUAAAUUGAUCUCAUAAAACAUUGUCAUGACCCUUUAUUUCAAAAUCACUCCUACAGCAUGUACAACAUAUACAUGUACUGAAACAUCACACUGUUCCCCAUAAACAUGUACAAUUAUUAUGUGUCAGUUAUAAACAAAAUAAAAAGUUUUUCUAUAAAUGUUAUACCACAAUAUUGAAUGUUGAUAUUUGUAUUUACUUCCAACUAAAUGGAAUUACUAUUGUAUUACUUCAGAAUUGUUAAUAGAGACUGUACUAAAUUUGAAAAAUGUGUACUUCUGUGAAUACUCCUAAUUUUUGUAAAUUCUAUAGAAAAUGUGUUGUAUACAGUACUUUUUUAGUUCCUGAAUAUCAUUGUGUAUACUUAAAAACAUUAAAAUGUGGACAAAUUUAUAAGGAAAUUAUUCUUAUCAAUAACUCUAAUCACUAAAAAUUACUUAAUCUUUGAUAUUGGAAAUUCAUCAAGUUUAUUUCUGUGUGAAGUUUAUUUUUGUAGAGCACCACCUGUAUGCUUCUCCUUGGUUAUUUUCAUCAAACUAUGUAAGAGAUAGAAUGAUGUUAGUACAGCUGAUUUAUUGCAGCUCCAUUUUCUUCUUAUCUUUACAUUCACCAGGUCAGACCUAAGGGGCUAAUUGAGAAAACAUUUUCUUCUAGUAAAGUCUAAUUUGGAAGAAAUUCCCAGAGAGAACAAAUCUAAUCUGAAUAUCCAUAAACAGAAAGAUUGUCAAAGAGAGACAAAGAUACAAUAAUUGUUGUGUCCAAGAGGGACAUGCUUCAAGUUCUGAAUGAAUUACAAAAAAAUUUUCCCAAAAAGUAAUACUAACAUGUAGUUCCACAUCAGUGCAUGACUGUAUCUAAUUCACCACUUCAUUGCCAAAAUAAAUAUUAUCUUGUAAUUUAAAUAAAAAAAUUUGUCCAUAUGACUUACAGAAACAAUACAAAAGGGAUCAUGAUAAAAAGCAAUAAUCCUGCCUCAGUCUUCACCACAAGUCCUACUUGUGAGCAAAAAAGAAAAAAAGCCAUCUUUAAUUGCUUCAGGUUUUAACUUUUCUGAUAUGUUAUGCUAUAAACUCAAAUUGUGUUUUGUUAAUAUUUUAAAAUAUGUUAAAAUAUUAGCAUAUUUUGAGUUUAUAGCAUAUCAGAAAUGUUUAUCAUUUUAAACAUGAUCCAUUUAAAUCCCAUUAUCAUGUCUGAAGAUUUAGUUCAUGUACGUAUCUCCACAUUUCCUCACAUUCUCCCUGUCCAGGAAAACUAAGUCAUUAAUAUUAUUUAACUUAUCUAUAGCAAUUAUGACUUAUAUAACUUAAUUAUACCUCUAUUUCUAGACUCUGCACCUUAUAAAAAAGUUUUUAGCAACCCUACUCUUUUUCUUUUCUUUCUACCUGCCAGUUUCUUAUCUAUUUCAAUUUUGUAAAUUGCAUAUAAUAACAAAAACGUAUACGGUGUAAUUUUUUUUCCUGUUGUGCUGAAAUUAUGACUAUGAGUAAAAUCGAGUACAAAAUGCAUUAAAUGUCUCUCAUUCUAAGUUCAAAAUUGUGCUACAAUGGUAUCAAAUUAGCUAAAAAUGCAGUUUAAGACCAGUUUCUCCCCAUGGGGCUUACUGAGUGUCCCAUAACUAGCCUACAUUCUCCAGUUACCCUCCCCCACCUCAUGCCUAGAAAUCAUGAGGGAAAAGAAUGGAUGCAUUACAGUUUUUGAAAUCUGGUGAGAGUGAUAAUUCAAGCAAACCAUUCAUAAAGAUUAGAAUUGCCUGCAGGAAAUGUCCGUUAGUAUUCUGUUACCCAUCUGGAAGUCUGUUGUACUCCUGAUGGUGCUAUGUGGCCUGCCUUCUAACCUCACUACUGAUUGUCAGGUAAGAGGUAUUUGGCAAUCUAGAAUUUGAAGAUAGAAGGGUGAGAACAUUCUGAGAGAAAAAGUGUGUUUUAUAAUGCACAGAUCCUUUCUUGCCAUUAUAAGUCACUUGAAGUUUAGACCAGACUAGGUUGUCUUAGGUUGGGUGGUAGUGUCAGAGGCAUGUCAACCAGAGAAGCUCCAUCUUGAAUAGGGAUUGGGUAAAAUGAGGCUGAGACCUACUGGGGUGCACUCCCGGAUGGUUAAGACAUUCUAAAUCACAGGGUGAGAUAGGAGGUCGGCACCAGAUACAGGUCAUAAAGACCUUGCUGAUAAAACAGGUUGCAGUAAAGAAGCCGGCUAAAACCCACCAAAACCAAGACUGCCAGGAGAGUGACCUCUGGUCUACCUCACGGUUACACUCCCACCAGUGCCAUGGCAGUUUGUAAAUGCCAUGACAACAUCAGGAAAUUACCCUAUAUGGUCUAAAAGGGGGAGACAUGAAUAAUCCACCCUUUGUUUAUUUUAUCAUCUAGAGAUAACCAGGUAGAUGGG
RNAcentral lists this long non-coding RNA (4742 nucleotides) under Homo sapiens (human). RNAcentral's name for it is "HSALNT0284467". The record is from RNAcentral. Lineage: Eukaryota; Metazoa; Chordata; Mammalia; Primates; Hominidae.